GUUUCCUGGAGCCACUGCCGAAGCCUGAUGAGGCAGCUUUCCUGAAGUGGGGUCAAAUCGCCCAGAUACCUCUUGAUAUAAUCUGCAUCUAAUUUGUCUGAAAAAUCUGAGAUUAUGAUGGCAUUCAUGGAAUAGUUAUAAAAGAGGACGGGACAAACCACACACCAUCAGGGGUUCCAGCCGCCAGUUCUGAUGCAUUGUUGCAGGUGUUGAUUUCCUUGGUGUUCAGUCCCUCUUUGACGGCAGUUUCUGGGAUGGACCGUCCAAAGGAACUCAUUUAAGAUAAACGCUGGACUAUUGACCUUCACUUCUUAGGAUUUCUUUUCUGGAAUUCUUGAAAGGAUUCAUCUCAACUAAGUUCGCACUAGCACCAUCAGAAGUACUUACUUCAGUGUCUUGGAUGUUUGAGUUGCCAUUAUCUGUUUCUUCCUCCAGGGACUCUUUGAGAUUGGACAGCCAGAGUGCCCAUAACACUCCAAAUUCACAACUUGCACAUUCUUUUAAAAUAAAUAACUAGGAAGUUCAAAAUGGAGUAUUAGCUCAAAAAGUUGACCUUCACUGCAUCAUUGCCUAAGAUGUAUGCAGAAAAACACUUGUGGUACCUGCCUGAAAACCAAACAUGACUCAUGGAAAUUCUAGGAGAGAAAGGUCAUAUGAUUUGCAGUAAGUUUGGUAGACCACUAAUCGCCUCCUAGGCAUUUUGUGCCAAGAUUUCUGUAUACAUACAGAAUUGAGUGCCAACAUCUAACAUCACAAGAUCGAUGAAGCAAGCUGGAAAACAAAACAGGAGGUUCAUUUAUUUGGAUUAGAACAUUGGUAUGCUUAAAUUCUGAAGUCAAGUCUUGAUGGAUAAUUUUAAGGCAAGAGGAUUAAAUAUCAAACUGGUUCUGUAUAUGUUCCAUACACGCAAUGCUAUCUUUACAGGCCGCACAACCAUGAUGGGAAUGAGAAGUGAGUCCUCCAGAGUACUCUCCCUUUCAUAAGCAGGGUUGCUUUUCAACUAUAUAAAGAGCCUUUUGAAUCCAAACCAAUAUUUUUAAGGCAUGGUGUUUGCCCUCUUCCCAAUCUAUGUAACUGGCAAUAGUUGGGGAAUUGACAAGUGGCUAUUGCAUGUGGUUAUUACUCUAAAAGAAAAAAGCUUCUGAGCAUGUCCAAGAUGGCGCCGCCCUGCUGAUCAGGAAAGCGGCGGUGGGCCUUUUCGGGCCUUGUCCGGUUCUGGGGGGGGGGCUUGGUGACAUCUUAGGCCCCCGCCCUGAUGGAAGAACAUCCAGUCACCCGGAGGAGGGGUGACUUGGUGCAGGACGACUUCGGAGGGCGUCGGGAGGAGCCCCGGAGCGUCCUUGCUGCAGCGGUGAUCCUGGCGGCUUGCUGGGUGGCUGCGGCUUGCCGAGUUGCCACCGGCCUUUUCGACGUUCUGGCGGCGGCGGCAGCGACGGCGACAGGGGGGUCUCUGAUAUUCAGGGCCCCCCUUGGACCCCGCCUGUGGGAGAAAGCAGUGGUGGCCCUGGCAGCUUGCCGGGCGGUUUGCCCGGCUUGCCGGGUGGCUUGCUGGGCGGCCUGCAGCUUGCUGAGCUGCCGCCGGCCUUUUUGGCGUUCUGGCGGCAGCAGCGGCGGGGGCCUUUGACACCUUGGGCCCCCUUAGAUCCCCGCCCUGAUGGAGGAGGCUUCAGUCGUUCAGGAAGAUGGGUGACGGGCGACUUCGGGGGUGAGGGGAGGAGCCCCGGAGGGGUUGCGCCCAGUGGAGAUCUGGAGGGCCUCCCGGGCCCCCGUCGGCCUUGUUGGCUUCCUGGCGGCAGUGGCGGCCUGGCUUUUCUUCGUUUGGCGCUGGCGCCGGUGGAGCCCCGGGAUUGCUGGCAGGAUUUGGCGACUGGCGUCCCUUCCUAGAUGGUGGGGAUGUCGGUGGCCUCAUGCGGCGG
Long non-coding RNA from Ahaetulla prasina, 1916 nucleotides. RefSeq lists it as uncharacterized. Lineage: Eukaryota; Metazoa; Chordata; Lepidosauria; Squamata; Colubridae. The record is from RefSeq and is a predicted model, not a curated record. The transcript is spliced from 5 exons.